RNAcentral lists this ribosomal RNA (245 nucleotides) under uncultured Treponema sp. Its description in RNAcentral is "partial 16S ribosomal RNA". It matches the Rfam family "Bacterial small subunit ribosomal RNA", at positions 524 to 768 of the family's 1533-position model. Lineage: Bacteria; Pseudomonadati; Spirochaetota; Spirochaetia; Treponematales; Treponemataceae. The record is from RNAcentral.
CACGUAAGGUGCAAGCGUUGUUCGGAAUUAUUGGGCGUAAAGGGCAUGUAGGCGGUCUUGCAAGCUUGGUGUGAAAGCCCGGAGCUCAACUCCGGAACUGCAUUGAGAACUACAGGGCUAGAAUUACUGAGGGGGAACCGGAAUUCCAGGUGUAGGGGUGAAAUCUGUAGAUAUCUGGAAGAACACCAAUGGCGAAGGCAGGUUUCUAGCAGAUAAUUGACGCUGAGGUGCGAAGGUGCGGGGAG